CUACGCACUCCUACGGGAGGCAGCAUGGGGGAAUAUUGCACAAUGGGCGCAAGCCUGAUGCAGCCAUGCCGCGUGUAUGAAGAAGGCCUUCGGGUUGUAAAGUACUUUCAGCAGUGAGGAAGGUGGAUAUGUUAAUAGCAUAUUCAUUUGACGUUAGCUGCAGAAGAAGCACCGGCUAACUCCGUGCCAGCAGCCGCGGUAAUACGGAGGGUGCGAGCGUUAAUCGGAAUUACUGGGCGUAAAGCGCAUGCAGGUGGUUUGUUAAGUCAGAUGUGAAAGCCCGGGGCUCAACCUCGGAAUUGCAUUUGAAACUGGCAAACUAGAGUACUGUAGAGGGGGUAGAAUUUCAGGUGUAGCGGUGAAAUGCGUAGAGAUCUGAAGGAAUACCGGUGGCGAAGGCGGCCCCCUGGACAGAUACUGACACUCAGAUGCGAAAGCGUGGGGAGCAAACAGGAUUAGAUACCCUGGUAG
This 471-nucleotide ribosomal RNA is filed under the name uncultured bacterium. RNAcentral's name for it is "bacterial SSU rRNA". It matches the Rfam family "Bacterial small subunit ribosomal RNA", at positions 329 to 793 of the family's 1533-position model. The record is from RNAcentral.